Long non-coding RNA from Mus musculus (house mouse), 895 nucleotides. RefSeq annotates it as predicted gene, 32769. The record is from RefSeq and is a predicted model, not a curated record. Lineage: Eukaryota; Metazoa; Chordata; Mammalia; Rodentia; Muridae. The transcript has 5 exons.
UAUGGUGAAAUGUAUGAACUGUCUGCCCAGGGAAACCCUCAAAGGGGCUACAUAAAAGUGUUCAACUUCAGAAUCUUCCAAAGUUAAGGGCAACACAACUGGGCUUACGGCUGUUGUCCUGGGAAAUGAAGAGAGCCAUCUUGGACUGGAUGUACUUAAGGAAGUUGACAGCUGACCACUGGGGAAGUGACACACCUGGCAACAUGGAAGAGAUAGUUACAUAGAGGCAAGUCCUAAGUGUGUGGGCCUCACUGGUGGCCUGUGGCUGGAGUCAGUGGGAGAUGAGCCAGUUCUCACUGGCACCUAAGGAAGGACAACCACCAGAUGAUAACACAUCCUCAGAGGAGCCAGACUUGCUCACAGGCCCUGCUGUUGCUCUAGACAACGAGGUCAGUCACACACUGAGGAAUGGCUUCAAUGAAUGAAUGGCAAAGGGAGGAGUUUCCCAGGGAAGCAAAGUUGAGAGACAUCAGAAGGACAUCAAAAGGACCUGUAACCCAUGAAAGUCUCGUUUUUACCUGAACAAUGGAAACAGAAAAAACAACAGCCUUUUACAUUUGGCUUCCUGACAAGUGCAGGUCUUACACUCUUUCUGUCCCCACUUCCACUGUUUUCCGAACCUGGGAGUGGUUGAGAUAGAUGUCGCAUUUAGGACUGAGCACUCCACAGACACUUGUCCUCAGUGCUCAGCCAGCUGUGAGUCUCUGCACUGACUGCUGCCCGCUGCAGAAAGGAGCUUCUCUGGCCACAGCUGAGAGCAGCGCUGACCUAUCUGCUGCUCCUCCUAGGACUCUGGUUUCCUGAGGAGGAAGGAAGGAUGAAAAGAUCAGUGACCAUCAGAGCGUCAGAGGCUCUCUCUCCCUCCCCCUCUCCUCCCUCUCUCCUUCCACCUCUC